AUGCGAUGCGGCGACGCAGAGCGGAACUUCAAAGCCUGUCUCAGUUCGGNUUGGAGUCUGCAACCCGACUUCAUGAAGCUGGAUUCGCUAGUAAUCGCGCAUCAGCCACGGCGCGGUGAAUACGUUCCCGGGCCUUGUACACACCGCCCGUCACACCAUGAGAGUCGGGAACACCCGAAGUCCGUAGCCUAACCGCAAGGGGGGCGCGGCCGAAGGUGGGUUCGAUAAUUGGGGUGAAGUCGUAACAAGGUAAC
Molecule: ribosomal RNA, 254 nt
Filed under: uncultured bacterium
Lineage: Bacteria
Description: partial 16S ribosomal RNA
Rfam family: Bacterial small subunit ribosomal RNA
Source: RNAcentral